This 243-nucleotide ribosomal RNA is filed under the name uncultured bacterium. RNAcentral describes it as "partial 16S ribosomal RNA". It matches the Rfam family "Bacterial small subunit ribosomal RNA", at positions 535 to 776 of the family's 1533-position model. The record is from RNAcentral.
CAAGCGUUGUCCGGAUUUAUGGGGCGUAAAAGGCUUGUAGGUGGCCACGCCAAGUCGGAUGUGAAAUCUCCCGGCUCAACUGGGAGGGGUCAUUCGAUACUGGUGGGCUCGAGGCCGGUAGGGGGAAGCGGAAUUCCCGGUGUAGUGGUGGAAUGCGUAGAUAUCGGGAGGAACACCAGUGGCGAAGGCGGCUCACUGGACCGGAACUGACGCUGAGGCGCGAAAGCGUGGGGAGCAAACGGG